Molecule: long non-coding RNA, 1686 nt
Organism: Panicum virgatum (switchgrass)
Lineage: Eukaryota; Viridiplantae; Streptophyta; Magnoliopsida; Poales; Poaceae
Exons: 2
Source: RefSeq, a predicted model, not a curated record
AUUCACAUGCCUCAGCCCGAGCUCCUUAAUCUCCUCUCUUUCUUGAGUUUCUUUGCCUAAUUGAGCUCUUUCGAGUUGAUUAAGUAAAGGACUCAAGUGCUAGCUCGCCCCAAAAUAAAAUUUGAGUAGUAAUUAGUGAAGUUCAUAAGCCAGAAAACACAAAAAUAUUUCCUCUCCAAAUAAAAUCAUGGCACGCUGAACGUUUGUGGUGGUUUAAUGCCCCGCAAGAACAACUAACGACUAAUGCUAACCCUCUUCUUAACCCCUUGUUUCCUUCAGGUAUUGUUCGUACUAAUCUUUUGCAGGCACCAUGCUGAAUCGAGCCAAGGAGAGAAGAUCAAGAAGCUCGCGAGGUUCGUCUUCUUCUCGGGAUAGCAUGUCGGUCGACUCCGGUCACCGCUCCCACGCAUCCCGGGAAGAAGAAGAAAUUCCUGCAGUCCCACGAAGCUGCUUCCAUAUCAGGAUCCUGACGAUGGUUGAACAAAUCAUCUUCAAGAACGACUACGAGCGGCAAGCACUCGAGCUGCUAAAGAGGCAAACAAAUGCCCAUGCCAAGAGGUUCGAAACCCGCUUCCUCAUCACGACGGGACUCUUGCAAGACAUGAACCAAGCUUUCACUGCCGUCGGAUGUGAGAACUUCGCCGACAUCAUCGAGCCAGACGUCACGAGUGAAGCCGUCUACGAGUUGGUCGCUGAGCCGAUCUAGGAGCCGCAAGCAGGGGAACUGCAAGCCGAAGCAGUUGUCGAGCCAGCUCCAGAGGAAGGCACUAACCCCGCUGACCUGCAAGGCAAGCCCCGGAGCAUAACCCUAAUUUCAGUAUUCGAUGUUUAUUAUAUAAGUAUUUGUGCAUUUAUGUUAUAGGAGUUGUAUGGAACCCUAGUAUGCAUAUUCGCCCUAGGUACCUGAGGGUCUAUACUAGUAUACAUGUGUCGUUAGAAAUGCUCUGCUAAGUAGGAUCUCGGUAGAAGUCGAGUGAUUCCUGUCACUCGCAAGAUUUGAGAUCUUGUUUCUUAUGGCAAGUGGCUUGGAAAUGAAUCAAUGAGGAAAGAGAAAUGGAGACCGGGCGGAGAUGAGUUGAUUCUGGAUAUGAAUUGGAUGGAAAGAAAACCUCCGCCUGUGUCGAUUGAGGACCGUACCAUUGCUGGCCCUGUUGAUCGAGGAUUGAACAGUAUUAACCACAUGCCAGAAGUAGGAGGUAGUCGAAACCGGUAAGCUGUGUACCGCUUUACAACGAUAGUUUGAAUUCCGACCUACUACGCUGGGUGUGGAAGUUGGCGGGUGUUGGAUAGGAUGCCGCUUUCGGGUUCUGUGGGAGUUCACCGUGAGGGGCCCAUCACCUGGAUUUUAGCAGGCGUGGUUCAGAUGUCGUGGUAAUGAUGGGAACACUUGACGCGCGUGUCCCGACGGGGCUUACAUGUGUCGUGUUGGUUAGGUCCACCUUGCAAGGUUAAAUCAAAUCGAUUAGCCGUGUCUCGCGGAUAUGAGAGCCUUGAUCACUGCGUCACAUCGUAGUAAAGGAUGUAAAUGAGAAUGGAAUGAAAAUGUUCUUUGGUGUUUUACUAGAGGUUUAAUUGAUCUACCAUGUGUGCUCUAGAUGCUAUGGCAAACCUAGUUGGUACUCCAAUACUAAACUUGAGCUAAAAUAUUGAAAGUAAAAAUUUACUACUAGUAGCUUUUCAGCAAAA